CAAUGGAUUUUGAGAACACCGUGUUUGCAUCCAGCCCACCAGCACGGACUUCCAAAGGACAGGCCAUGAAUCAAAGUCAUGGCUCUUCUUCAUUCCAGGAAUUGAUUGGGAUGAAGACAACUCUUUCAGAUGAGGGCAGUUGAGUCUGGGGCUCGGCAGCCCCAGGUGAUGGAGAGAAAGAAGCCAGAGUUUUCUGGACAGACGUGGACAUAUAUGUGAAGGCAGAGGUGUGAGCACAGAAUGACAUGAACAAAUACAUAGAGACAGCAAACAGACGGAGAUCUCCACGUGUGCACAGACAUGUAAACAGGCAGGUGAAGACUCAGAGGUUUGGAGCUUUUCAGGUGCAUUUCAUGUUGGAUUUGCUGACCCAGGAGUCUGACAAGAACCCUGGUUUUCUUCUUCUGUACAAUUAAAGAAAAAAAAAAGUUAUCAACAAUAAAAUAUCCUCUCUAUUCA
Lontra canadensis (Northern American river otter) is the source of this 459-nucleotide long non-coding RNA. RefSeq lists it as uncharacterized. The record is from RefSeq and is a predicted model, not a curated record. Lineage: Eukaryota; Metazoa; Chordata; Mammalia; Carnivora; Mustelidae. The transcript has 2 exons.